This 19-nucleotide unclassified non-coding RNA is filed under the name Chlamydomonas reinhardtii. RNAcentral describes it as "small RNA Cre_1473". Lineage: Eukaryota; Viridiplantae; Chlorophyta; Chlorophyceae; Chlamydomonadales; Chlamydomonadaceae. The record is from RNAcentral.
CUGAUGAGCACCGAGGGGC